Ornithorhynchus anatinus (platypus) is the source of this 138-nucleotide small nucleolar RNA. The record is from RefSeq and is a predicted model, not a curated record. Lineage: Eukaryota; Metazoa; Chordata; Mammalia; Monotremata; Ornithorhynchidae.
GCCCUCUCAGGGUCACACCUGGAGAGUUUCCAGUAGUCUACCAGUCUUGACUACAGGAGGGAGAGUCAAGCAGAAGCAUAUCCAUUCCAUUUCUAGCUUAAUCAGUACCUAGCAAGUGGAAGGCAAGCUACUACAAGU